Molecule: ribosomal RNA, 497 nt
Filed under: uncultured bacterium
Lineage: Bacteria
Description: partial 16S ribosomal RNA
Rfam family: Bacterial small subunit ribosomal RNA
Source: RNAcentral
GAUGAACGCUGGCGGCGUGCCUAAUACAUGCAAGUCGAGCGAACGGACGAGAAGCUUGCUUCUCUGAUGUUAGCGGCGGACGGGUGAGUAACACGUGGAUAACCUACCUAUAAGACUGGGAUAACUUCGGGAAACCGGAGCUAAUACCGGAUAAUAUUUUGAACCGCAUGGUUCAAAAGUGAAAGACGGUCUUGCUGUCACUUAUAGAUGGAUCCGCGCUGCAUUAGCUAGUUGGUAAGGUAACGGCUUACCAAGGCAACGAUGCAUAGCCGACCUGAGAGGGUGAUCGGCCACACUGGAACUGAGACACGGUCCAGACUCCUACGGGAGGCAGCAGUAGGGAAUCUUCCGCAAAGGGCGAAAGCCUGACGGAGCAACGCCUCGUGAGUGAUGAAGGUCUUCGGAUCGUAAAACUCUGUUAUUAGGGAAGAACAUAUGUGUAAGUAACUGUGCACAUCUUGACGGUACCUAAUCAGAAAGCCACGGCUAACUACGUG